Non-coding RNA from Salmo salar (Atlantic salmon), 53 nucleotides. Lineage: Eukaryota; Metazoa; Chordata; Actinopteri; Salmoniformes; Salmonidae. The record is from Rfam.
AAUGCACCAAUUUGUAAGUCGCUCUGGAUAAAGCGUCUGCUAAAUGACGUAAA